Molecule: ribosomal RNA, 2905 nt
Filed under: Escherichia coli
Lineage: Bacteria; Pseudomonadati; Pseudomonadota; Gammaproteobacteria; Enterobacterales; Enterobacteriaceae
Also listed under: 1 other name
Description: 23S ribosomal RNA
Rfam family: Bacterial large subunit ribosomal RNA
Source: RNAcentral
GGUUAAGCGACUAAGCGUACACGGUGGAUGCCCUGGCAGUCAGAGGCGAUGAAGGACGUGCUAAUCUGCGAUAAGCGUCGGUAAGGUGAUAUGAACCGUUAUAACCGGCGAUUUCCGAAUGGGGAAACCCAGUGUGAUUCGUCACACUAUCAUUAACUGAAUCCAUAGGUUAAUGAGGCGAACCGGGGGAACUGAAACAUCUAAGUACCCCGAGGAAAAGAAAUCAACCGAGAUUCCCCCAGUAGCGGCGAGCGAACGGGGAGGAGCCCAGAGCCUGAAUCAGUGUGUGUGUUAGUGGAAGCGUCUGGAAAGGCGCGCGAUACAGGGUGACAGCCCCGUACACAAAAAUGCACAUACUGUGAGCUCGAUGAGUAGGGCGGGACACGUGGUAUCCUGUCUGAAUAUGGGGGGACCAUCCUCCAAGGCUAAAUACUCCUGACUGACCGAUAGUGAACCAGUACCGUGAGGGAAAGGCGAAAAGAACCCCGGCGAGGGGAGUGAAAAAGAACCUGAAACCGUGUACGUACAAGCAGUGGGAGCCUCUUUUAUGGGGUGACUGCGUACCUUUUGUAUAAUGGGUCAGCGACUUAUAUUCUGUAGCAAGGUUAACCGAAUAGGGGAGCCGAAGGGAAACCGAGUCUUAACUGGGCGUUAAGUUGCAGGGUAUAGACCCGAAACCCGGUGAUCUAGCCAUGGGCAGGUUGAAGGUUGGGUAACACUAACUGGAGGACCGAACCGACUAAUGUUGAAAAAUUAGCGGAUGACUUGUGGCUGGGGGUGAAAGGCCAAUCAAACCGGGAGAUAGCUGGUUCUCCCCGAAAGCUAUUUAGGUAGCGCCUCGUGAAUUCAUCUCCGGGGGUAGAGCACUGUUUCGGCAAGGGGGUCAUCCCGACUUACCAACCCGAUGCAAACUGCGAAUACCGGAGAAUGUUAUCACGGGAGACACACGGCGGGUGCUAACGUCCGUCGUGAAGAGGGAAACAACCCAGACCGCCAGCUAAGGUCCCAAAGUCAUGGUUAAGUGGGAAACGAUGUGGGAAGGCCCAGACAGCCAGGAUGUUGGCUUAGAAGCAGCCAUCAUUUAAAGAAAGCGUAAUAGCUCACUGGUCGAGUCGGCCUGCGCGGAAGAUGUAACGGGGCUAAACCAUGCACCGAAGCUGCGGCAGCGACACUAUGUGUUGUUGGGUAGGGGAGCGUUCUGUAAGCCUGUGAAGGUGUACUGUGAGGUAUGCUGGAGGUAUCAGAAGUGCGAAUGCUGACAUAAGUAACGAUAAAGCGGGUGAAAAGCCCGCUCGCCGGAAGACCAAGGGUUCCUGUCCAACGUUAAUCGGGGCAGGGUGAGUCGACCCCUAAGGCGAGGCCGAAAGGCGUAGUCGAUGGGAAACAGGUUAAUAUUCCUGUACUUGGUGUUACUGCGAAGGGGGGACGGAGAAGGCUAUGUUGGCCGGGCGACGGUUGUCCCGGUUUAAGCGUGUAGGCUGGUUUUCCAGGCAAAUCCGGAAAAUCAAGGCUGAGGCGUGAUGACGAGGCACUACGGUGCUGAAGCAACAAAUGCCCUGCUUCCAGGAAAAGCCUCUAAGCAUCAGGUAACAUCAAAUCGUACCCCAAACCGACACAGGUGGUCAGGUAGAGAAUACCAAGGCGCUUGAGAGAACUCGGGUGAAGGAACUAGGCAAAAUGGUGCCGUAACUUCGGGAGAAGGCACGCUGAUAUGUAGGUGAAGCGACUUGCUCGUGGAGCUGAAAUCAGUCGAAGAUACCAGCUGGCUGCAACUGUUUAUUAAAAACACAGCACUGUGCAAACACGAAAGUGGACGUAUACGGUGUGACGCCUGCCCGGUGCCGGAAGGUUAAUUGAUGGGGUUAGCGGUAACGCGAAGCUCUUGAUCGAAGCCCCGGUAAACGGCGGCCGUAACUAUAACGGUCCUAAGGUAGCGAAAUUCCUUGUCGGGUAAGUUCCGACCUGCACGAAUGGCGUAAUGAUGGCCAGGCUGUCUCCACCCGAGACUCAGUGAAAUUGAACUCGCUGUGAAGAUGCAGUGUACCCGCGGCAAGACGGAAAGACCCCGUGAACCUUUACUAUAGCUUGACACUGAACAUUGAGCCUUGAUGUGUAGGAUAGGUGGGAGGCUUUGAAGUGUGGACGCCAGUCUGCAUGGAGCCGGCCUUGAAAUACCACCCUUUAAUGUUUGAUGUUCUAACGUUGGCCCCUGAUCGGGGUUGCGGACAGUGUCUGGUGGGUAGUUUGACUGGGGCGGUCUCCUCCUAAAGAGUAACGGAGGAGCACGAAGGUUGGCUAAUCCUGGUCGGACAUCAGGAGGUUAGUGCAAUGGCAUAAGCCAGCUUGACUGCGAGCGUGACGGCGCGAGCAGGUGCGAAAGCAGGUCAUAGUGAUCCGGUGGUUCUGAAUGGAAGGGCCAUCGCUCAACGGAUAAAAGGUACUCCGGGGAUAACAGGCUGAUACCGCCCAAGAGUUCAUAUCGACGGCGGUGUUUGGCACCUCGAUGUCGGCUCAUCACAUCCUGGGGCUGAAGUAGGUCCCAAGGGUAUGGCUGUUCGCCAUUUAAAGUGGUACGCGAGCUGGGUUUAGAACGUCGUGAGACAGUUCGGUCCCUAUCUGCCGUGGGCGCUGGAGAACUGAGGGGGGCUGCUCCUAGUACGAGAGGACCGGAGUGGACGCAUCACUGGUGUUCGGGUUGUCAUGCCAAUGGCACUGCCCGGUAGCUAAAUGCGGAAGAGAUAAGUGCUGAAAGCAUCUAAGCACGAAACUUGCCCCGAGAUGAGUUCUCCCUGACUCCUUGAGAGUCCUGAAGGAACGUUGAAGACGACGACGUUGAUAGGCCGGGUGUGUAAGCGCAGCGAUGCGUUGAGCUAACCGGUACUAAUGAACCGUGAGGCUUAACCUU